CAAAGUCUGUCACAAAUCAAACUUCCGGUCAUCGAAAUAAAAGAAAAACAUACGCACAUGCAUUCAAUCAAAAUCCAAGGGAAGGGGACAGGGAAAGACAGGAGAAGAGAAGCAAGAGCAAGGAAAAGACCCAGUGUCAACCGUCCAGCAUGCAGUGGAGACAGACACGGAUAAAGACAUGGACGAAACAAUUGCUGCUGGCCAGUUUUCCGUUCUAUACAGAUCACCAUGUCAUGAUGUCAUCAUGGCAGCCUGUGCUGAUUGCUGUGGGCGUGGCUCAGCUGGCAGGUGGCUCCAGGUUGCAGCCUGCCUUGCUCGUUCGUUUGCCUGCCUGCCUGCCUGCCUACCUGCCUGCCUGCUUGCUCCUCACACCUGCCCUUCUCUCUCUACGGAUUGGACUCAAUUGUUUGGACUCUGGAGGAGGCCUACCACAUGG
This is a long non-coding RNA of Perca fluviatilis (European perch), 436 nucleotides long. RefSeq lists it as uncharacterized. The transcript has 3 exons. The record is from RefSeq and is a predicted model, not a curated record. NCBI's taxonomy places the organism in Eukaryota, Metazoa, Chordata, Actinopteri, Perciformes, Percidae.